CCCGUCACACCAUGGAAGUCUGCAAUGCCCGAAGCCGGUGGCCUAACCACUUAUGUGGAAGGAGCCGUCUAAGGCAGGGCAGAUGACUGGGGUGAAGUCGUAACAAGGUAGC
RNAcentral lists this ribosomal RNA (112 nucleotides) under uncultured bacterium. RNAcentral describes it as "partial 16S ribosomal RNA". It matches the Rfam family "Bacterial small subunit ribosomal RNA", at positions 1393 to 1500 of the family's 1533-position model. The record is from RNAcentral.